Molecule: ribosomal RNA, 628 nt
Filed under: Pseudomonas sp. Horo_3
Lineage: Bacteria; Pseudomonadati; Pseudomonadota; Gammaproteobacteria; Pseudomonadales; Pseudomonadaceae
Also listed under: 1 other name
Description: bacterial SSU rRNA
Rfam family: Bacterial small subunit ribosomal RNA
Source: RNAcentral
UGCAGUCGAGCGGAUGAAGGGAGCUUGCUCCUGGAUUCAGCGGCGGACGGGUGAGUAAUGCCUAGGAAUCUGCCUGGUAGUGGGGGAUAACGUCCGGAAACGGGCGCUAAUACCGCAUACGUCCUGAGGGAGAAAGUGGGGGAUCUUCGGACCUCACGCUAUCAGAUGAGCCUAGGUCGGAUUAGCUAGUUGGUGGGGUAAAGGCCUACCAAGGCGACGAUCCGUAACUGGUCUGAGAGGAUGAUCAGUCACACUGGAACUGAGACACGGUCCAGACUCCUACGGGAGGCAGCAGUGGGGAAUAUUGGACAAUGGGCGAAAGCCUGAUCCAGCCAUGCCGCGUGUGUGAAGAAGGUCUUCGGAUUGUAAAGCACUUUAAGUUGGGAGGAAGGGCAGUAAGUUAAUACCUUGCUGUUUUGACGUUACCAACAGAAUAAGCACCGGCUAACUUCGUGCCAGCAGCCGCGGUAAUACGAAGGGUGCAAGCGUUAAUCGGAAUUACUGGGCGUAAAGCGCGCGUAGGUGGUUCAGCAAGUUGGAUGUGAAAUCCCCGGGCUCAACCUGGGAACUGCAUCCAAAACUACUGAGCUAGAGUACGGUAGAGGGUGGUGGAAUUUCCUGUGUAGCG